Molecule: long non-coding RNA, 299 nt
Filed under: Theobroma cacao (cacao)
Lineage: Eukaryota; Viridiplantae; Streptophyta; Magnoliopsida; Malvales; Malvaceae
Description: long non-coding RNA (TCAC_LNC002731)
Source: RNAcentral
GCGAGUUGACAGAGUUAACUCAUCCGAGUUUCGACGAGUUCCAGCGUCAAACGUCUCUGAUGACGAGCUGCACUCUCCUCUGGAAAGAACUCUCCGAUCACAUCAACUCACUCGAGCAAAACCUGGUGAGACAAUCGGAGGCCUUAAAACGCAAAAUUGAAACACUAGACUCGGAAACCAAGGCCUCACUCGACUCACUCAAGAAGCGCGAACACAGCAUCGAGGACAGCGUGAAGAUCGCACUCGACCGAGUCGAGUUCCACACAAAAGCCGCCCUGAAAACCCUUAGCGACGACGUU